This is an unclassified non-coding RNA of Cavia porcellus (domestic guinea pig), 327 nucleotides long. Its record names the gene 7SK. It matches the Rfam family "7SK RNA". Rfam says of the family: 7SK was discovered as an abundant small nuclear RNA in the mid-70s but a possible function has only recently been suggested. Two independent studies have found that 7SK RNA binds the CDK9/cyclin T complex (known as elongation factor P-TEFb). Lineage: Eukaryota; Metazoa; Chordata; Mammalia; Rodentia; Caviidae. The record is from Ensembl.
AGGUAUGAGGGUUAUCUGACUGCAGUACCUGUCACUCUCCUGCACUGAUCACCCGGGUUGAUCUGGUUGUCCUGGCUGGCUAGGCUGACAUCCCCGUCCUCCCUCACUGCUCCAUGUGUGUCCCUCCCAAAGCUGGCAACAGGUCGAAGAGACAACCAGUCCCGACAGAGGCAGGCGAUCUCUUUGGUGAAGGGUAUGCAAGUAGCUACACUGCCUGCUAGAACCUCCAUACAAGCUCUCCAAGAAUGGCUAACUGGGAAACUUUAUAUGCAUUUUACCAAGAUUUAAAAAUUAAUAGACCGGAUGUGGUGGCAUGCACCUGCAAUU